AAACUCUUCAGUCUAUCGUCUGUCACGAGGCUACCCAACUCAACUAGCGGAGUCAACGGCUCACGGUGGAAACUAUAGGAACAGGUCUUCCGCUUCAACUCGGGAACUGUUGCCAUCUCUAUCAGUAGACAAGCUCGGGAAUGUACCUGAGAAAUGAUAUGCAUGCAGAGAUUAAUUUUUUCUUCUUUUUUUUUCUUUUGAUUUUUUUUUAUAUAUAUUUUUUCAAUGCGUUUCUUUUGAAAAAUAAAUAUGCUAUGAUGCACAUGAUGCAGACACGGCUGGCUGGUUGUGCAAUCUCUGAUCACUAGGUCGAAGCUUCAGUCAAAAUCAGGACAUAAAUCCAACUUAAGGUCAACUGAACACUGUCUGAACACAAAGUCACCAUCAGAACCAAGUCACCAACAGAACCGAGUCACCAACGGAACCGAGUCACCAACGGUACCUGUAAUGAAUAACCCCUCCCCACUCACGGGUGUAGUCUAGGCCAGGGUAAAGCUGAGAGAAACGCAGCAUAAAUAACCUUUCGCAGAAUACUGUCAUAUACACACCCGAAGUAUGUAACGACAGCAUCCCACCAGGGUCUGAACUGCUCGUGAUAUCAAUGUUCCGCUAAGUGGCGCCAUACCACCCGCUUCCCAUGAAUCACUCUAUUCCUAGGUAUCCUAGAUUGCACUCAUGGUCUGGGUAUUGGACCUUUUACCU
This 702-nucleotide long non-coding RNA is filed under the name Lathyrus oleraceus (garden pea). Its description in RNAcentral is "Pisum sativum (pea) long non-coding RNA (PSAT_LNC005135)". The record is from RNAcentral. Lineage: Eukaryota; Viridiplantae; Streptophyta; Magnoliopsida; Fabales; Fabaceae.